UACGUAGGGGGCAAGCGUUGUCCGGAAUCAUUGGGCGUAAAGAGCGUGUAGGCGCCAGAAAAGUCCGCUGUGAAAACUCGAGGCUCAACUUCGAGCUGUCGGUGGAAACUUUCUGGCCAGAGUCCGGAAGAGGAGAAUGGAAUUCCUGGUGUAGCGGUGAAAUGCGCAGAUAUCAGGAAGAACACCCGUGGCGAAGGCGGUUCUCUGGGACGGUACUGACGCUGAGACGCGAAAGCGUGGGGAGCGAACAGG
Molecule: ribosomal RNA, 252 nt
Filed under: uncultured bacterium
Lineage: Bacteria
Description: partial 16S ribosomal RNA
Rfam family: Bacterial small subunit ribosomal RNA
Source: RNAcentral